Molecule: ribosomal RNA, 254 nt
Filed under: uncultured bacterium
Lineage: Bacteria
Description: partial 16S ribosomal RNA
Rfam family: Bacterial small subunit ribosomal RNA
Source: RNAcentral
UACGUAGGGUGCGAGCGUUGUCCGGAAUUAUUGGGCGUAAAGAGCUCGUAGGCGGUUUGUCGCGUCUGCCGUGAAAACCCGAGGCUUAACCUCGUGGCUUGCGGUGGAUACGGGCAGACUAGAGGUAGGUAGGGGAGAAUGGAAUUCCCGGUGUAGCGGUGAAAUGCGCAGAUAUCAGGAGGAACACCGGUGGCGAAGGCGGUUCUCUGGGCCUUACCUGACGCUGAGGAGCGAAAGCGUGGGGAGCAAACAGG